RNAcentral lists this ribosomal RNA (527 nucleotides) under uncultured beta proteobacterium. Its description in RNAcentral is "bacterial SSU rRNA". It matches the Rfam family "Bacterial small subunit ribosomal RNA", at positions 8 to 526 of the family's 1533-position model. The record is from RNAcentral. Lineage: Bacteria; Pseudomonadati; Pseudomonadota; Betaproteobacteria.
AGAGUUUGAUCCUGGCUCAGAUUGAACGCUGGCGGCAUGCCUUACACAUGCAAGUCGAACGGUAGAGGGGCAACCCUUGAGAGUGGCGAACGGGUGAGUAAUGCAUCGGAACGUGCCCAGUCAUGGGGGAUAACGCAGCGAAAGCUGUGCUAAUACCGCAUGUGAUCUGUGGAUGAAAGCAGGGGACUUGGUAGCAAUACUGGGCCUUGUGCGAUUGGAGCGGCCGAUGUCAGAUUAGCUAGUUGGUAGGGUAAAAGCCUACCAAGGCGACGAUCUGUAGCUGGUCUGAGAGGACGACCAGCCACACUGGGACUGAGACACGGCCCAGACUCCUACGGGAGGCAGCAGUGGGGAAUUUUGGACAAUGGGCGCAAGCCUGAUCCAGCAAUGCCGCGUGCAGGACGAAGGCCUUCGGGUUGUAAACUGCUUUUGUACGGAGCGAAACGGUCUGGGUUAAUACCCUAGGCUAAUGACGGUACCGUAAGAAUAAGCACCGGCUAANUACGUGCCAGCAGCCGCGGUAAUAC